Molecule: non-coding RNA, 1101 nt
Organism: Salmo salar (Atlantic salmon)
Lineage: Eukaryota; Metazoa; Chordata; Actinopteri; Salmoniformes; Salmonidae
Source: RefSeq, a predicted model, not a curated record
UGCCCUUUGUCCUCAUUUCACCAUCCCCCAACUUGCAGAUGGCCAUCACUGGAACACUCUUCACUGACAAGGAAAUGAAAUGUCUGGAUGCCUCUGACGGCAAGGUGAAGUUCGAAGAGGAGCCAGGAGAGGAUAUGUACAACGAGUCCCCGUUGCCAUGAACACAACCUUUCACUUCUCAACUCACUGCGAGGACCCAGUGAACUCAAACAAUGCUUUAAUAGGGACCGGUGUCUAACACAUUUAUUAGUAUAUGCCAUCAAAAAAUAUUCUUUAGGAAAAUGUAUUUUAGCCAACUGUCCUGAAACCUCAUUGCAAUUGGGUAUGUUUGUGUGCCAAAGCUAAAAUGAAGGUCUCGGGUAAGCAUUCAAACCUUUUUAAUGACAGGUAGCCUAAUAUUCUACACUAUUAAUAUGACAAUUAACAUUUAUCUCUCACAUACCCAAAUAAUGCCAAAAAUAUAAUCCCAUCAGUAUUAGGCAGAUAAAUAGAUAAAUGCAAUAUUAUAAGUCACACCGAAAAUGCUUUUCUAUGGGACUGUUAUUUUAGCCUUGGUUCUAUAGCCUAGUUUAUACCCUAGUUACAUUACUUCUCCUUUGUUACAGUUUGGUUUUAUGCUUCAUUGUGAUUAAUUGUGUGCUUAUUGAAUGAAAGUAUUUUGUAGAUUACCUUUGUUCUUGCUGUUUUGUUUAGUUGCAAGCUAAAGUGCGAGUAUGGAGUUAAAAUCAUCUUAGUUCUAUUUUUGGGUGUCAAGUGGUGUCACUCAUUCAGUUCUUAUACCUAAAUACAUAUUUACUUCAGGAUGUAAUGCUUUCGGGAUGGCAAAGGUGAGAGGGAUACAUAUAGGAAAAUUAUUGAUUAAUCACUGAAUGAAUUGUAACAAUAUAAUGAUGAUGUGGGGAGAAAGUGUAAAUAUGACAAAUGAAUCACAGCAAUAAGAUCUGACUAUAGGCCUAUUGCACUAUUUUUUUCAUUGAUCAGGGACAGGUGUAAAAGGACAGCUGUAUAUUUGGUUUAUUGUAUGUGGAUGUGUGUUUGAAUCACUGUACAACUGCUGUUUUGAUUUUCACCCAACCAAUUAAAGACAUUUAAACCCUUUAA